RNAcentral lists this ribosomal RNA (1291 nucleotides) under Curculionoidea sp. 28 KM-2017. RNAcentral's name for it is "16S ribosomal RNA". The stretch from base 605 to 1291 matches the Rfam family "Archaeal large subunit ribosomal RNA", at positions 1423 to 2802 of the family's 2987-position model. The record is from RNAcentral. Lineage: Eukaryota; Metazoa; Arthropoda; Insecta; Coleoptera.
AGCUUUUUCUUAUUAAAAUAUUUUAUGAUGGAGUAGAUAGAGAGGUUGUUGAAGUAUUAAUGGGUUUUAUUGUUACUUUGUAAAAAUUUUAUUAAUGAUAGUGAAUUAGGUAUUGUGAUAGAAUGAAAAUGAUGACUGUGUAUAAGAAGAAUUCAGUUUUUGUACCUUGUGUCUCAGGGCUUAUCUAUUAAGAGUUAAGUAUUUAUAUUUCUCGAAUUUAAAAGAGUUAUGGGCCUGUAGAUUUUAAUGUAGCAUAAUUACUUGAAAUGGUCCCAUGGAGGUGAGAUGCCAGUCGAUUUUAAAUAUAUCUAGUUUCCUAAGAAAGUAAUUUAAUUGUGGUUUUAACUAUUAUGAAAUUAAUUUUGUAAUUUUAUGGUAUUAGAGGCUAAUGGCCUGAGGGAUGAGCUUUAGGUUUAAUUUAUACAAUAUUAUUUAUUGGUAGUAGGGAGUAGGAUUGUGAGAUUCUAUCUUUUAGUGGGUUAUACCUAUAUUCUUAUUAAGUCGUACUAUUUUUAUUUUUUUUAUGUGUUUUAUUAGGAUACCCGCUUGAAUUGAAGUUUGUUGCACAACAAUGAUAGGAUUAGUAUAGGAUUUUUGUUUAUUUUGUGUAUGAGAGAUUAAGAUAAGGAACUCGGCAAUUGAAUUUUUCACCUGUUUAUUAAAAACAUGGCCUUUUGCUUAGGAUGGAAGGUCUGGCCUGCCCACUGGUUUCUAAAGGGCCGCGGUAUUUUGACCGUGCAAAGGUAGCAUAAUCAUUAGUUCUUUGAUUGGGAGCUGGAAUGAAUGGUCGGAUGAGGGAAUUACUGUCUCAUUUUAAAUUGUUGGAAUUUUAUUAUUAAGUGAAAAGGCUUAAAUUGUUGUAGAAGACGAGAAGACCCUAUAGAGUUUUAUAGCUUGCCUAAGUGUGGUCAUUGGGGUAUGUAUAACUAAUUUUAGUACGGCUAUUUGGUUGGGGUGAUAGGGAAAUUAAACGAACUUUUCUUUUGGUUGAUAUUGGUUUGUAGAUUGAUGAUCCUCGCUUUGAGAUUAGAAGAAUAAACUACCUUAGGGAUAACAGCGUAAUCUUUUCUGAGAGUUCUAAUCGAAGAAAAGGCUUGCGACCUCGAUGUUGGAUUAAAGCUUAUCCCGGGUGCAGCUGCUCGGGGAUUUUGGUCUGUUCGACCUUUAGAGUUUUACAUGAUCUGAGUUUAAACCGGUGUGAGCCAGGUUGGUUUCUAUCUCUAUAUAAUAUUAAUAUUUUAGUACGAAAGGACCAAGUAUUAGACUAAUAGUUUAGGGGUUGAGUGUAAGU